Molecule: long non-coding RNA, 1123 nt
Organism: Cylas formicarius (sweet potato weevil)
Lineage: Eukaryota; Metazoa; Arthropoda; Insecta; Coleoptera; Brentidae
Exons: 3
Source: RefSeq, a predicted model, not a curated record
CCCCCCCGAGAUGGCGAGGGGGCUACCGGUGGGGUCCCCGAACGGCACGCGGGCGAACGGACAAAGACAACGGUUUGGUUGGCACUACUGACCACUGUUUGGUAAGGUUAGGGAGAGUGACCUAUGGACGAAUGGCCAGAACACAAAAAGAAGAAGACCAUGGGCGUUGUGACCGUGGUCGGGAAGCCAAAAAGUGAGGUUAUGUGGGCCUGGAUGUCCCUUUAUUCAUCUACAUGCAAGGCCAGGUAGGCAAUGGUAAUCGCGCAUAAAGUCGAGAUACGUAGAAUAGAGCUCUGGGUUUCGAGAAAGACGGUUUUCCAGCGACAACAAGCUAAGAUUCUGGGUGUUUAAAGGGUAGGGAUGCGAUAAAUCUACCACUCUUGUUCCUGCGGGUCGUAUUUGCGAAAAUAGUCUCACACCUUUCGUCCUCCGGGGAAGCGGGAUGCUUAGUCGUUUCUAAAGCAGAUGGAUGACCGGACGCACCUGGGAUGCGUCCAGCGAGUAGGAUUUGACCAGUUAAUCGCCAAUUACAAGAUCUACAACACCGGGAAUAUGGUAAUUGCGGUCAGCCAACUCCAGAUUUUUUAAAUUUUCUCUGCCAGCGUUAUUGGAUUGCAGGUCUGUCAGUACAUAGCUGUGGUACGACAAUGGCAUCGAACGAAAGUAGAGGAGUUGCUUGAUUUUGUGAUUUAAUGGUGCAUCAAGUUAAUCCUUUUGAAGUUUGACUGGUCAUGUCUUUUAGGCCGUGAAUGGGCACAGUGUAAAACUUCAACCUGCGUAAACACGUCGUAGUGCGACGACACCCCCAAAGCCUCACAAAAAGAAAGAAAAAGCGAAGAAACGGUUCAGCAGCAGCAGCAGCAGCAUACCGGCUCAUCCUCCUCCUCCUCCGGUUGGUUCGAUACGUUUAUCGACGACGAAGAAAGAAGGGUGGUAUGCGAAGCGUUCCAGUUGAAAAUGGUUUUAGAGUCGCAGCUGGUACGAAACGAGGACCAGAUCAAAGAGACUGAAACUAAAAUUGCCCUGCUGCAGAGCGAGUUACAAGUGGCGCGCCUUCAUUCCGACGAAUGCAGAAAAAAACUUAAACAUUUUGCAAGUUUAGCAUCCUCUCUGCCCGCAUCAA